RNAcentral lists this ribosomal RNA (417 nucleotides) under uncultured bacterium. RNAcentral's name for it is "bacterial SSU rRNA". It matches the Rfam family "Bacterial small subunit ribosomal RNA", at positions 39 to 502 of the family's 1533-position model. The record is from RNAcentral.
GCGGCACGCCUAACACAUGCAAGUCGAACGCAGUAGCAAUACUGAGUGGCAAACGGGUGAGUAUAAUGUGGGAAUCUGCCUUUUGGUUUGGAAUAACACGGGGAAACUUGUGCUAAUACCGAAUAAGCCUUUACAGGGAAAGUUUUAACGCCAAGAGAUGAGCCCGCACUUGAUUAGCUAGUUGGUAAGGUAAAAGCUUACCAAGGCAACGAUCAAUAGCUGUUCUUAGAGGAAGACCAGCCACAUUGGGACUGAGACACGGCCCAGACUCCUACGGGAGGCAGCAGUGGGGAAUCUUGCACAAUGGGGGAAACCCUGAUGCAGCGAUGCCGCGUGAGUGAAGAAGGCCCUUGGGUUGUAAAACUCUUUCGUCGGGGAAGAAAAUGACUGUACCCGAAUAAGAAGGUCCGGCUAACU